Molecule: ribosomal RNA, 460 nt
Filed under: uncultured bacterium
Lineage: Bacteria
Description: partial 16S ribosomal RNA
Rfam family: Bacterial small subunit ribosomal RNA
Source: RNAcentral
CCUACGGGGGACAGCAGUGAGGAAUAUUGGUCAAUGGGCUUAAGCCUGAACCAGCCAAGUCGCGUGAGGGAAGACUGCCCUAUGGGUUGUAAACCUCUUUUGUCAGGGAGCAACGCCGGCUACGUGUAGCCGGACUGAGAGUACCUGAAGAAAAAGCAUCGGCUAACUCCGUGCCAGCAGCCGCGGUAAUACGGAGGAUGCGAGCGUUAUCCGGAUUUAUUGGGUUUAAAGGGUGCGUAGGCGGAAUGCCAAGUCAGCGGUAAAAUCGCGGGGCUCAACCUCGCUCCGCCGUUGAAACUGGCGGUCUUGAGUGGGCGAGAAGUAUGCGGAAUGCGUGGUGUAGCGGUGAAAUGCAUAGAUAUCACGCAGAACUCCGAUUGCGAAGGCAGCAUACCGGCGCCCAACUGACGCUGAAGCACGAAAGCGUGGGUAUCGAACAGGAUUAGAUACCCGAGUAGUC